AGACCGAUAGCGAACAAGUACCGUGAGGGAAAGAUGAAAAGAACUUUGAAAAGAGAGUUAAACAGUGCGUGAAAUUGUUGAAAGGGAAACGCUUGACACCAGUCAUGCGAGCGGAAAAUCAGUCUUUUGCAGUGGGGAGUUGUGUGGGUUCGGACCGCAAGGCCGGCCUGUGCUGCAUCUCUGCUGUAAGUGAUGCACUUUUUCGUUUGCAGGCCAACAUCAGUUUCUUCUGCUGGACAAAACUCUUGAGAAGGUAGCAGCUUUGGCUGUGUUAUAGCUCUUGAGCGAUACAGUGGAGGGGACUGAGGUUUUCGCAGCGCGUGCUCUCGGGCAAGGCUGAUUGGGUGCUAUGGGAUCGUUCGGUGUACAAUGCAUGCAUUUUGCGCCGUGUCUUUUCUAUACUCGCUCAACUCGGCUCUUCCGCGCUUAGGAUGUUGGCUUAAUGGUUUUAAUCGACCCGUCUUGAAACACGGACCAAG
RNAcentral lists this ribosomal RNA (479 nucleotides) under Mortierella sp. RNAcentral describes it as "LSU rRNA". It matches the Rfam family "Eukaryotic large subunit ribosomal RNA", at positions 331 to 670 of the family's 3401-position model. The record is from RNAcentral. Lineage: Eukaryota; Fungi; Mortierellomycota; Mortierellomycetes; Mortierellales; Mortierellaceae.